GACGAACGCUGGCGGCGUGCUUAACACAUGCAAGUCGAACGGAAAGGCCCUGCUUUUGUGGGGUGCUCGAGUGGCGAACGGGUGAGUAAAACGUGAGUAACCUGCCCUUGACUUAGGGAUAACUUCAGGAAACUGGGGCUAAUACCGGAUAGGAGCUCCUGCUGCAUGGUGGGGGUUGGAAAGUUUCGGCGGUUGGGGAUGGACUCGCGGCUUAUCAGCUUGUUGGUGGGGUAGUGGCUUACCAAGGCUUUGACGGGUAGCCGGCCUGAGAGGGUGACCGGCCACAUUGGGACUGAGAUACGGCCCAGACUCCUACGGGAGGCAGCAGUGGGGAAUAUUGCACAAUGGGCGGAAGCCUGAUGCAGCAACGCCGCGUGCGGGAUGACGGCCUUCGGGUUGUAAACCGCUUUCGCCUGUGACGAAGCGUGAGUGACGGUAAUGGGUAAAGAAGCACCGGCUAACUACGUG
This 468-nucleotide ribosomal RNA is filed under the name uncultured bacterium. Its description in RNAcentral is "partial 16S ribosomal RNA". It matches the Rfam family "Bacterial small subunit ribosomal RNA", at positions 28 to 507 of the family's 1533-position model. The record is from RNAcentral.